UGCUUCCAGCAGGGUUUAGUUAACAGCUGCAGCACGUCUUUCUAAAGGCGACAGUCACGUGACUCGGCGUCAUACAUUCGGCGUCGCACAGCAGCUCGGGCGCUUGUUUUAUUUCUUAUUAUAUAUAUUUUUCAAACCGCAGUUGAUCGAUGCUCUUAAAACUGUGCUAUCAUCGUUAGAAAAUCUGUAUCGAGGAGUUUGACUGAUUUACAUCCACACAUCUGCAUCUGGGAGGCUCUGGAAUUAAAUGGUCAUGACUGAGCGAGUGUUUGUGUUUGUUGAUGAAGAGGAGCUUUUCGGCGUGAUGAAGGAUCUUGACUGUCUGUACUGCAGGAAUCCAGUGACUGCAUCUAAACAUCACCUCAAAAAGAGACAUCUCAGAUUCGCGGUGUAUUAUAAAGACUCUGGCAUUGGUAAUUGACCAGUAACCGUUUCUAUAACACACAUCUUGCAGAGAGGUAGUAUUUUACACCCAUUCUCAACUCUAAUGCUGUCUGUUCUUUCUGACAGGGAAGUUUUCUAUCCCCUGUUAUUGUUCUGAUGGAGGCCAUGGCAGGAGCCACUGGCAUUGCCCAAUGUGCUCAAAAAUAUUGCAAAGGACAAAGGAUUACAAAAUCCAUAUUACCAACCAUGGUGUUGAGAUGACUGACAAAUCCACAGUUGAGCUACAACCUACAACAGUCCUGUUGGAGAGCCAACAAACAGACAACGAAGACAAGACUCCGGGCAACAAGUCAGCGUGCCAAAAGUGUGGCAUCUUCUUUACCACCACAUCAAAUUUGAGACGGCACGAGAGGCUACAGCACAGCCAGAACCAGCAGCCCAUGUUAUGCAUAGAUGCCAAAAAUGCCAUCUAUGUUACACCUAAGGAUCUGCAUGGACCUAGAGUGCCCAUUCAUAUCCGCAAAUCCUUUGCCUUACAGAUACUGCUGUGUGAGCUGGAGGAAUGCUGGGAUUUCAUGAGAGCACAGGCCCAGAGCGGGAAUCCUGGUAAAGAGUGCCGUCACCUCGUGAGAACUAAUCACGCGCAGCACUACGUUCCCCCUCCACCGCUGUGUGUCAGCUCUCUGGAGGAGAUGACCGACAAACACCUCCUGUCCAUAUCGGAGAAACAAGAGUGCCAGGAGAUGAACUCCAGGGCAUGUUUAGAGGGAGCCGAUUGUGUGUACCCUAUUUUUUGGGGGGAGCAUGACCUUCCAGAGAGAUGUGUCUACUUUUCUGUGUACACAGACCUCAAGGACAAAUGGUGUCAGUUUGGGAGGACACGCGUCUCGUUUGACACCAAGUCUGGCAGCUGGAAGUGUCUAUGUGAACACAAAAGAAACCGUUGCGUCCACAAGCAUUUAUCUAUGUGGUGGUUGUUUCAGGAGCAUCCCAGAUUGUUGCAAAAUGCCCUAGAUAUCAACGCUGAAAGAGUCGACGUGGUCAUCGAUGAAGAGGUUAAAAUGUGUCCUGAGGGUGACGACCUCUGCUAGCUUCGACAUCCAUCAGAACUUCACUCUCGUGUUCUGUCUUCACUCAAUAAAAACACUUGCCAUACACUUUAUUUUGCCUUGUAGUUUGUUAACAGUUGGUUUGCAAAAAUUCAUGUGCAGUGCUGUGCUAUGUUUAGUGUUGUGGGAAACGCAUUACAAGUAACACUAAUUAUGUAAUCAGAUUACUUUUGUAAAGUAACUAGUAACAUAUUACUUUUACAUGUACAAUGACAUUUCUGAGUUACUUUGUCAAAUAAGUAACAAAAGUUAUUUUGGUACUUUGUCCUCAGCUCCUGUCCCCGUGUUGAGAGAAAUCAGAGGCACUUCCCUCAGCCUGAGGCUUAUUAUUUUCACUUUUGCUGUGAAAGGGCCAUUACAGUGCAGGUGACAAAAAGUAAUGCAAAAGUACGUAAUGCAUUACUUUCCAUGAACAGUAGUAACUAAGUAAUGCAAUUAGUUACUUUUUUUGGAGUAAUGCGAUGUUGUAAUGCAUUACUUUUAAAAGUAACUUUCCCCAACACUGUAAGUUUAUGACGUUGCCAUACUCAUUUUAUUAAUGAUAUCCAAGUUAUAUUUGUGGUGAAUAUUUCUUGAAAGGUGUCAUGAGAUUUAUUCAUGGAUUAUUCAACUGAAAAGCAAAAUGUGUGUUCUCGUGCUUUCAAAGCCAAAUGUAAUAAAUACUAAGUCCAAUAACAAUCUCAGUAAACUCUCUUUGUGGGGAAGUUUCACUUUAGGCUUUGUAUUAAAUGGUGAGUUGUGUGACAUGAUUGUGUGACCGAUUUACACAAAGUAUUGAUGAUGUUGUGUGUCUUAACUGAUUUUACACAACAUAAAUAAUGUUCAGUAUUAUGAUUUUUAAAAUGCA
Molecule: long non-coding RNA, 2340 nt
Filed under: Sinocyclocheilus grahami
Lineage: Eukaryota; Metazoa; Chordata; Actinopteri; Cypriniformes; Cyprinidae
Description: lncRNA (ENSSGRG00000046906.1)
Source: RNAcentral